AGCAGCCGCGGUAAUUCCAGCUCCAAUAGCGUAUAUUAAAGUUGUUGCAGUUAAAAAGCUCGUAGUUGAACUUCAGGCCUGGCUGGACGGUCCGCCCUCUGGGUGAGCACUGUCUGUGGUCGGGUCCUACCUUCUGGCGAAGCGGCAUGGCCUUAACCGGCCGUGGCGGGGAACCAGGACUUUUACUGUGAAAAAAUUGAGUGUUCAAAGCAGGCACGCGCUUGAAUACAUUAGCAUGGAAUAAUGGAAUAGGACAAUGGUUCUAUUUGUUGGUUCCUAGGACCGUUGUAAUGAUUAAUAGGGAUAGUUGGGGGCAUUAGUAUUCAAUUGCCAGAGGUGUAAUUCUUGGAUUUAUUGAAGACUAACUACUGCGAAAGCAUUUGCCAAGGAUGUUUUCA
RNAcentral lists this ribosomal RNA (398 nucleotides) under uncultured Glomeromycotina. Its description in RNAcentral is "SSU rRNA". It matches the Rfam family "Eukaryotic small subunit ribosomal RNA", at positions 569 to 972 of the family's 1831-position model. The record is from RNAcentral. Lineage: Eukaryota; Fungi; Glomeromycota.